CUCAUCUGAAUAUCCGUUUUGCAGUCUCAAACCUCUCUCAUAUUCCAUGCUUUUUCGGAUAGUUGUUUCAGAUUCGUAGUGAUCAGUUUGAUUAAUUCGUGUUUUGGAAUCCUAUGUGCUUUGAUUUUCUGGAAAUUUUGGUUUCUCCCUUGAUCGGUUGCCAAAGAAGUCCGUUUCUAGUUACUCAUGUUCGUCUGUAUGUUUUCUCAUGUUGAUGUAGCUCAGAUCAUGGAUUUGAAGUCAAGUGCCAAGGCUUCGGAUUUGUUCUAUUUGAACGGAAACGAUCGGUUUGAUCAAUACGUGUCUAGUUAUCCUAUGCUUGAUUUUGUGGAAAUUUCGCGUUUAUAUUGAUCGGUUGCUUACGAUUUCUGUUUCCGAUUAUUUAUUGUUGGUAUGUCUGUCAUGCCUUGAUGUAGUUUGGAUCGUGGAUUCGAUUUCAGCCUGCUACUUAUGGAUGUCUUUUGGUUGAACAACAUGGAUCGGUUCGAUAAUACGUGUUUGGUUAUCUUAUGCGUGGUUCUCUAUGAAAUUUGGUUUAUGUCUUUAUCGGUUGCUGAAGAUGUCUAUUUCUACUUACUUAUGCUCGUCUGCAUGUCUUGUCAUGUUGAUGUAGCUCAGAUCGUGGAUUUGAAGUCAAGUGCAAGGCUUCGGAUUUUUCGAGUUGAAUGAAAACGAUCGGUUUGAUCGAUACGUGUCUAGUUAUCAUGUGCUUAAUUUUGUGAAAAUUCCGCGUUUAUAUUGAUUGGUUGCUUAAGAUUUCUGUUUCCGGUUAUUUAUUGUUGGAAUUUCUGUCAUGCCUUGAUGUAUUUUGGAUCGUGGAUUCGUUUUCAGCCUGCUGCUUUCGGAUGUCUUUUGGUUGAACGACAUGGAUCGGUUUGAUAAUACGUGUUUGGUUAUCUUAUGCGUGGUUCUCUAUUAAUUUUGGUUUAUGUCGUGAUCGGUUGCAGAAGAUGUCUAUUUCUAGUUACUUAUGCUCGUCUGUAUGUCUUAUCUUGUUGAUGUAGCUCAGAUUGCGGAUUUGAUCAAGUGCAAGGCUCCGGAUUUGUUCUAGUUGAGCGAAUAUAUCGGUUUAUCCUAUGCUUGGUUUUUUGGAGCUUUUGCCUAUAUAUUGAUAGGAUGCUUUCAUUUCCUCUUUCCAAAUAUGUAUUGUUGCUUGUCUGUCAUGACUUGAUGUAGUUCCGGUCGCAAAUUUGGUUUCAGCAGCAAGCUUUAGGAUUUCUUUUGGUUGAACGACCUUGAUAGGUUUACAAGCUUGGUUUUAGUCCUUCAUCACUCAUCAGCAAGCUUGGUUGAACGACAUGGAUCGGUUUGGCAGGCCUUUGAAUUUCCCUUCAUUAGUUGACUCAUUUAAUAUUUUAUUAGACUUAAAUUUGUGGGUUGUUCUUUGCUGUUUUGGUUAUUCUUCCUAGGUUUGAUCUAAUAUUGGGGUUCAUUAACCUAAUGCUAAGAAGUCCCAUGUAGAGCAGCCAUCAGUUAGUCCCAUGAUGAUCAUUAGUGGCCUUGUCAUGCUUGGUUUUAUUCCUUCCAAAAUUUUGGUUUUGAUUUCCCAAAAUUUCUUCACUCUUUUACUGUAUAUAUAAUUUAGUAAAAUCCUAAUUCUUCCUUUAUAUUUAUUCUUCUGCAUAAUUGCAGGUCUAGUUGUGUUGUGUGACAAGGGCCAGUUCAGGACACCUUCCAAUUGUGAAAAUUUUGGUUUGGUUGUAGUUUUCUUUUUGGGUGCUUUGCCCUUUCCCCUUCACUAGUAGAGUAGACAUAUCAUUGUUUGUUUAUUAACUUUUUGGGUUUCUAUGCUCUUGAUGUUCUUUCUAGGUUUAAUCCAAGGUUGUGGUGUUGAUUAGCCUAGUUCCUAGAGGAGGGAGCCAGUCCAUUCAGAGUUGUAUGAUGAUUAUUAGUAGUGUGCUAUUUUUUAUUAUUAUUUUUUUAAUCUAAUGAGUUCAGUUUGAUGCAUGAAUCUCUGGAUAUCUCUCAUUCAUCAAAUAAUAAGUUCAGUUGGCCAUAUUAAUGGGCAGGUUCUGUAUGUCUUGUCAUGUUGAUGUAGCUCAGAGCCUCAGAUCGUGGAUUUGGUAUCAAGUUCAAGGCUCUGUAUAUGUUCUAGUUGAGCAAAUAGAUCUGUUUGAUCAUUAACCGUUCAGUUAUCCUAUUUUUGGUUUUCUGAAAAUUUUGAGUUUAUUUUGAUCGGUGGCUUUCAAUAUCUCUUUCCGAUUAUGUAUUGCCAGUUUGUCUGUCAUGGCUUGACGUAGUUUGGAUCACAGAUUUGGUUUCAGCAGCAAGCUUUCGGGGAUUGGUUUGACAAGCUUGGUUCUAUUCCUUCAUCACUCAUCAGCAUGCUUGGUUGAAUGAUGUGUAUUGGUUUGUCAAGCUUUUGGAUUUCCCUUCACUAGACACUAGUAGACACAUUUAAUAUUUGAUUAGAUUUAAUUUUGUGGGGAGUUCUUUGAUGUUUUGAUUAUUCUUCCUAGGUUUGUUCCAAUAAUUGGGGUUCAUUAAUUUAAUGCUAAGAGGUCCAUGUAGAGCAGCCCUGUGAUGAUCAUUAGUGGUUUUAUCAAGCUUGGUUCUAUUCCUUCGAAAAAAUUUUGUCCAUGAAAUUUUUGGUUGUGAUUUCCAAAAUUUUCUCUACUCUUUUACUAUGUAUGAUUGAGUUCUAUUUAUUGUUCUGCAUAAUUGCAGGUCAUGUAUUGUGUUAGAAGGGUCAGAUCUGGACAUUUUCCAUUUGUGAAAAUUAUGGUUUGGCUGUGGUUUAAUAGUUCUUUUUUUUUUUUUGCCCUUUCUCCUUCACUAGUGGACAUAUCAUUGUUUGUUUACUCUUAAUUUUGGGGUUUCUUUGCGCUUGAUGUCCUUUCUAGGUUUAAUCCAAGAUUGUGUGGCUGAUUAACCUUAAUUCCUAGAGGCAGCAUAUGGAGACAAUCCUUUAAUGAUCAUAAGUGGCGAGCCUUGUUGUUUAUCCAAAGUUCAGUACGAUGCAUCAAUGCCCAGUUAUCUCUCAUUCAUCAAAUAAUCAGUUAAAUACUUGUACCUUUGGCCAUAUUAAUGCUCGGCUUUGUUUCUGGCUUGAUGUUCUUUUGAGGUGUAGUUCAACUUGGGGGGUGCACAAUGGACUGCAGCAGGGGGUCAUUGACCUAUUUGGUUUGGAAGUGUUUUGUCAAAUCUGAUUUUUCAAUGCAAUUCUCAUAGUUAUUCCCAACUUUGAUGAAUUUUGUAAUAUUGUGGCUCACAGGUUUGCAAGAGGUCUAACGAACGUAAUAGAUCGGUUUGAUUGAUACGAUAAGUUAUCAUAUGCCUGAUUAAAGUUUGUGUUUAUAUGUAUCUGUUGGUUAAGAUUUCUGUUUCCAAUUAUUUAUGGUUGGUAUGUCUGUCAUUGACUUGAUAUAGUUUGGAUCAUGGAUUCGGUUUCUGCUGCUACUUUUGGAUGUCUUUUGGUUGAAUGACAUGUGAUCAAUUUGAUAAUACUUGUUUGGUUAUCUUAUGCUUGGUUCUCUAUAAAUUUUGGUAUAUUUCUUGAUCGGUUGCUGAAGAUGACAAUUUCCAGUUACUUAUGCUCUGUAUGUAUGUCUUGUGAUCUAGCUUAGAUCGUGGAUUUGGUAUCAAGUUCAAGGCUCUGGAUAUGUUGUAGUUGGGCGAAUAGAUCAGUUUGAUCAUUGCUUCAUUUGCUUGUUCAGUUAUCUAUUCUCGAUUUUCUGGAAAUUUUGAGUUCAUAUUGAUCGGUGGCUUACAUUUUUCUCUUUCCAAUUAUGUAUUGUUGCUUUGUCUGUCAUGACUUGAUGUAGUUCGGAUCAUGGGUUCGGUUUCAACAGCUAGCUUUCAGGUUGAACUAUGUGGAUUGGCUUGACAAGCUAUGUUCUAUUCCUUCAUCACUCAUCAGCAAGCUUGGUUGAACGAUGUGGAUCGGUUUGGCAAGCUUUUUGAUUUCCCUUCACUAGUAGACACAUUUAAUCUUUGAUUAGACUUAAUUUUGUGGGAGGUUCUUUGCUGUGUUGGUUAUUCUUUUUAGGUUUGAUCCAAUAUUGGGGUUCAUUAACCUAUGUUAAGAGGUUCCAUGUAGAGCAGCCCAGUCAGUCCCAUGAUGAUCAUAAGUGGCCUUAUCAAGCUUGGUUUUAUUCUUUCUAAAAAUUUUUAUCCAUUAGUUUUUUAUUGUGAUUUCCUAAAUUUUCUCCACUCUCUUACUAUAUAUAUGAUUUAGUGAAAUCAUAUCUUCCCUUAUGUUUAUUCUUCUGCAUCUUUGCAGGUCUAGAUGUAUUGUGUUAGACAGGUCAGUUCUGGACAUAUUCCAUUCAUGAAAAUUUUGGUUUUGUUGUGGUUAAUUAUUCCUUUUUCUGUGCUUUGCCCUUUCUCCUUCACUAGUAGACAUUAGCAUUUUUUCUAGUUGUAUGAUGAUGAUUCAUUAGUGCCCUGCCUUAUUUAUCCAUUGAGUUCAGUUUGAUGCAUCAAUGCCUGGUUAUCUCUUAUCAAUCAAAUAAUCAGUUAGUGUAUUUAAAUACUUUUUCUUUGACCAUAUUAAUGAUCAUGUUCUUUUCUCUCUUUAUGUCCUUUCAAGGUCUAGUUCAACUUGGAGGGUGCACAAUUAAUUGCCAGGGGUCAUUGACCUGUUUGGUUUGGAAGUCUUUUGUCAAGCUUCUUAACUGAUUUUUCAAUGCUCUCAUUCUCCUCAUUCUCAUCAUUCUCCCCAUUUUUGAUGAAUUUUGUAAUAUUGUGGUUCAUAGGUUAGCAAGAGGUCUAACCUAGGGUAUAUGAGCUAGAGCCCAGAGUGUGAUCAUCAUUACAACCUUCUAUCUGGAAAAAUAUUUAUCCAAGUUUGAUUAAUACUUAUGUUCUCUUUCAUGGUUGCAUUGUUGUGAAUUUUUGGAUGUUUUCAGUUCCCCAAAAUUUCUCCUAUUUUUUAUGUGUGAACAUUUUUCUUGUUUCCCCACCCCACUAAUAGGCUUAUUGUUUUUCUAUAAAUAAAUACAUAUGAAUUUAUAUUGAAUAGGAUUCUCAGUUCUUUGCAUGCUUCUAGCUUGGAGUACAUGAUGGAUGAGGGCCUUCAAGAGUAAGGAAAGUAUUAAUUCUUGGUUUAUAGAUUGUUCCCUGUUUCUAUUGUGUGGUCUAGGGUAUUGAGCAAGGAACUUCCAGGAAUCUAAUUACAGGUUUUGUGAUUUGAUUUAAUGCCAUGUUAUUGAGGUCUAUGGCUGCGAAAUUCUAGUCUGGUUUGAGACAUCCUUUGGUAAUGGCCUCCUGAGGGAACACUGGAUGUCCUAUUUGAGUUUGACCUACUUGAGAUACAGAGAAACUAACUACUGGAGUUAAAUUGUCACACUGAUGAUUAACACAACCUCUUGCCUGUAUUGGAAGUAUAUUGUGCAUGCUGAGUUUGGAUUUUGAACAUGAAUCAAUCCUGGUAUACUUCAUAUGUGGUUUUUUCUACUCGCAAUACUUUGGGUAGAUAUACUGGAGUUAGCAAUGAAUGCUCUUUGUGGCAUCUGAAUUCUCUGUCAUCUGAGUUGAAGGAACCUUUCCUGUUACUGUUUUCUUUGACAAUGGGGUUGUAAUUUGAGCUGAUGAACAACUUUUUCAGUUACAAUUUGGGAAGAACAUGGAGAUGUAUCUUUAUUUCUAGCAUCUAAAUUUUAGCAUCUGAAUCCAUGGAGGAGCCCUUUCCUGUUAGGCAUUUCCCUGUUUCUAUUGUGUGUUGAGAGUGUUCAGCAAGGAACUUCUAACAAAGAGUGGUUUGAACUUACGGGAAUCUAAUGACACUAAGUAUUGGGAUUUUAUUUUAUUGCCAUGUUAUUAAUGUUUAUGGAUGCUAAAUUCUGGUUUCAUUUGAGACAUCUUUGGUGAUCUGCUGCCUAACUCUGGAGGAUGUCCGAUUUGAUUUAUGACCUACCGGGUGCUAGAGUCCAAUAAUUAAUUUUUACUAUGCAUGUUAUUCUGGUAAAAUUUUCCUUUCAUUCAGUCUCAUGAUUAAUUUGCCACUUACAAUCUCUGGAGACAAUUCAUAUACAGAGUAACCAACUACUGGGUGUAGUUACUGACGAUUAACGCGUUCUCUUGUCUGUAUGUGCCUUUUUCCCUCAAUACUUCUGGUAGAUAUGUUGGUCCUCUUGCCUGUACUAUGUCUGAAGCUUGUUAUUGAAAGCUGUAUGUGCGCCUUUUUCCCUGAAUACUUGUGGUAGAUGUGCUGGUCCUCUUGCCUGUACUAUCUCUGAAGCUUGUUAUUGGGAGCAUGUAUGUGCGGCUUUUACCCUCAAUACUUUUGGUAGAUAUGCUGGAGUAGCAAUGGAUAUUCUUUCUUUCCAACCAUGUGAGAUUUGUUAUUGCACUUUGGGAAAAAAUGCAGGAUUUAGCCGUGGAUAUUCUUUCUGGCAUCUGAAUUGAAUACUCCUCUGUGUCAUUUGAGUUGAUGGGGGAACCUUUCCUUUACUGAUGACAAUGGAUUGUACUGUGUGCUGAUAAGUUCUUUACUUAGGAGUGAUUUUUUGUACAGCAUGUUGGCACUUCUGUGGUUUUUUUGUCACUUGUUCUCUGUCCUCCCUAUUUGAAGACUGCUUUCUAGAGAAAAGUAUCGCCUUUGUGAAGCUUUCCCUGAUAAUUUGAAGGGUGAAGAUAGCAUUAUUUAAUUGAUGCCUGUCAACAAGCUUAAGUUGUUUAUGAUUUCUCCUUGUGAAGAUGCUUUUAAAGAGAACUUGAAAAACUUCAUUGAUUUUUGAAAGGAACAUCAAAGAUAUAUACACACUUUCAUGUCUACUAGAAGUGGUUGUUUGUUCUUACCCUCGUACUUGGACUGCUUUUAGAGGAUGAUCUCUCUUUUGUGAAGGCUCUUUUGCUGAUCUUUGAAGUUCAAAAAUAGUGCAACUUUGGAUGCCAUCUCCUGGUUAAGAUGUUUUAGAGUUUUAGAAUAACCUCAUUGAAUUUGUCAUCUCCUUGUUAAAGAUGUUUUUCUGGAGUUUUAGAAAAACUUUAUUGAUUUGGGGAAAUGCACCAUGUAGUUAAAUCUUCCUUACUGGAUAAUAUGUCUAGUCAGUUUCAAGGGGUUAUUCAUUUUGGGUUGCUCAUGAAGGAGGCUAUGUGAUGAUUGCUAGUUUUGUUCACAAUUUUGCUUCUGGUGCAAAGCUGCUUUUUUAAGCUUUUGUAGUUUUGCUCACAUGAUGAAAAGAUUGUAUAUGUUUGCUUGUCAGUUGUUACCAUUUUGUUUGAUAUUUAUAUGGGAAUUGGAAAGAUUAACUUUCUUGCA
This is a long non-coding RNA of Ipomoea triloba (trilobed morning glory), 7204 nucleotides long. RefSeq lists it as uncharacterized. The record is from RefSeq and is a predicted model, not a curated record. NCBI's taxonomy places the organism in Eukaryota, Viridiplantae, Streptophyta, Magnoliopsida, Solanales, Convolvulaceae. The transcript is spliced from 2 exons.